This 69-nucleotide transfer RNA is filed under the name Eremias arguta (steppe-runner). RNAcentral's name for it is "tRNA-Glu". Lineage: Eukaryota; Metazoa; Chordata; Lepidosauria; Squamata; Lacertidae. The record is from RNAcentral.
GCUUUAGUAGUUGAAUUACAACAGCGAUUUUUCGGGUCGCAGGUUUUGGUUGUUGGCCAAAUUGAAGUA